UACGGAGGGGAGCUAGCGUUGUUCGGAUAUACUGGGCGUAAAGCGCACGUAGCGGCGCCGUAAGUCAGGGGUGGAAAUCCCGGAGCUCAACUCCGGAACUGCCCUUGAAACUGCAGUGCUAGAAUUCUGGAGAGGCGAGUGGAAUUCCGAGUGUAGAGGUGAAAUUCGAUAGAUAUUCGGAAGUAAGAACCACGUGGCGGAAGG
RNAcentral lists this ribosomal RNA (204 nucleotides) under uncultured bacterium. Its description in RNAcentral is "partial 16S ribosomal RNA". It matches the Rfam family "Bacterial small subunit ribosomal RNA", at positions 524 to 721 of the family's 1533-position model. The record is from RNAcentral.